UGACGAGUUUGAUCCUGGCUCAGGAUGAACGCUAGCGGCAGGCUUAACACAUGCAAGUCGAGGGGUAUAGUUCUUCGGAGCUAGAGACCGGCGCACGGGUGCGUAACGCGUAUGCAAUCUACCUUUACAGAGGGAUAGCCCAGAGAAAUUUGGAUUAAUACCUCAUAGCAUGUGAGAAUCGCAUGGUUUUCACAUUAAAGUUCCAACGGUAAAAGAUGAGCAUGCGUCCCAUUAGCUAGAUGGUAAGGUAACGGCUUACCAUGGCGACGAUGGGUAGGGGUCCUGAGAGGGAGAUCCCCCGACACUGGUACUGAGACACGGACCAGACU
RNAcentral lists this ribosomal RNA (329 nucleotides) under uncultured Flavobacterium sp. Its description in RNAcentral is "bacterial SSU rRNA". It matches the Rfam family "Bacterial small subunit ribosomal RNA", at positions 1 to 337 of the family's 1533-position model. Lineage: Bacteria; Pseudomonadati; Bacteroidota; Flavobacteriia; Flavobacteriales; Flavobacteriaceae. The record is from RNAcentral.